GAAAUGCGAUAAGUAGUGUGAAUUGCAGAAUUCAGUGAAUCAUCGAAUCUUUGAACGCACAUUGCGCCCUGGGGCAUUCCCCAGGGCAUGCCUGUUCGAGCGUCAUCUACAACCUCAAGCUCUGCUUGGUGUUGGGCGUCUGUCCCGCCUCGGCGUGGACUCGCCUCAAAUGCAUUGGCGGCCGGUUCCUUGGCUUCGAGCGCAGCACAUUGCGAACCUCGAGCCCCAAGGGUGCCUGGCUCCCAGAAGCUACCCCCCAAUUUUGACCUCGGAUCAGGUAGGGAUACCCGCUGAACUUAA
RNAcentral lists this unclassified non-coding RNA (300 nucleotides) under uncultured Sporormiaceae. RNAcentral's name for it is "sequence contains ITS1". The stretch from base 1 to 105 matches the Rfam family "5.8S ribosomal RNA", at positions 50 to 154 of the family's 154-position model. Lineage: Eukaryota; Fungi; Ascomycota; Dothideomycetes; Pleosporales; Sporormiaceae. The record is from RNAcentral.